GCAGCAGUGAGGAAUAUUGGUCAAUGGACGCAAGUCUGAACCAGCCAUGCCGCGUGCAGGAUGACGGCUCUAUGAGUUGUAAACUGCUUUUGUACGAGGGUAAACGCUCUUACGUGUAGGAGCCUGAAAGUAUCGUACGAAUAAGGAUCGGCUAACUCCGUGCCAGCAGCCGCGGUAAUACGGAGGAUUCAAGCGUUAUCCGGAUUUAUUGGGUUUAAAGGGUGCGUAGGCGGUUUGAUAAGUUAGAGGUGAAAUUUCGGGGCUCAACCCUGAACGUGCCUCUAAUACUGUUGAGCUAGAGAGUAGUUGCGGUAGGCGGAAUGUAUGGUGUAGCGGUGAAAUGCUUAGAGAUCAUACAGAACACCGAUUGCGAAGGCAGCUUACCAAACUAUAUCUGACGUUGAGGCACGAAAGCGUGGGGAGCAAACAGGAUUAGAUACCCUGGUAGUCCACGCAGUAAACGAUGAUAACUCGUUGUCGGCGAUACACAGUCGGUGACUAAGCGAAAGCGAUAAGUUAUCCACCUGGGGAGUACGUUCGCAAGAAUGAAACUCAAAGGAAUUGACGGGGGCCCGCACAAGCGGAGGAACAUGUGGUUUAAUUCGAUGAUACGCGAGGAACCUUACCCGGGCUUGAAAGUUAGCGACGAUUCUUGAAAGAGGAUUUCCCUUCGGGGCGGGAAACUAGGUGCUGCAUGGUUGUCGUCAGCUCGUGCCGUGAGGUGUCGGGUUAAGUCCCAUAACGAGCGCAACCCCUACCGUUAGUUGCCAUCAGGUCAAGCUGGGCACUCUGGCGGGACUGCCGGUGUAAGCCGAGAGGAAGGUGGGGAUGACGUCAAAUCAGCACGGCCCUUACGUCCGGGGCUACACACGUGUUACAAUGGUAGGUACAGAGGGCAGCUACCCAGCGAUGGGAUGCGAAUCUCGAAAGCCUAUCUCAGUUCGGAU
Molecule: ribosomal RNA, 947 nt
Filed under: human gut metagenome
Description: bacterial SSU rRNA
Rfam family: Bacterial small subunit ribosomal RNA
Source: RNAcentral